This 468-nucleotide ribosomal RNA is filed under the name uncultured bacterium. RNAcentral's name for it is "partial 16S ribosomal RNA". It matches the Rfam family "Bacterial small subunit ribosomal RNA", at positions 28 to 507 of the family's 1533-position model. The record is from RNAcentral.
GACGAACGCUGGCGGCGUGCUUAACACAUGCAAGUCGAACGGAAAGGCCCUGCUUUUGUGGGGUGCUCGAGUGGCGAACGGGUGAGUAACACGUGAGUAACCUGCCCUUGACUUUGGGAUAACUUCAGGAAACUGGGGCUAAUACCGGAUAGGAGCUCCUGCUGCAUGGUGGGGGUUGGAAAGUUUCGGCGGUUGGGGAUGGACUCGCGGCUUAUCAGCUUGUUGGUGGGGUAGUGGCUUACCAAGGCUUUGACGGGUAGCCGGCCUGAGAGGGUGACCGGCCACAUUGGGACUGAGAUACGGCCCAGACUCCUACGGGAGGCAGCAGUGGGGAAUAUUGCACGAUGGGCGGAAGCCUGAUGCAGCAACGCCGCGUGCGGGAUGACGGCCUUCGGGUCGUAAACCGCUUUCGCCUGUGACGAAGCGUGAGUGACGGUAAUGGGUAAAGAAGCACCGGCUAACUACGUG